GUAGUGCAAUCGCUUUAUCAUACAUCACUAACAGCAGAGAAAGGAGAUGAGUUUUCUACUGUUACUUCUAUCAGUUGUACUAGUAGUAUCUACAUUGACUGGAUCUACUAACAAUUACUACAAUGAACCUACUGGCAAUAAAGGAUCAUACACAGAUUGUUCUAUUACUCAUGAUUUUGUUAUCAUAACUAAUGUAUCAUUCAACAAAACAAUUAAACGAGGACAGAGUUAUGAUGUCCAAGCUGGAGUCAUGAAUUUAAAAAAGAAACUGCAAGGGGGUAUAGUGCAUAUAAUCGUAACACAUCAAUACAAAAAUUACAUAAACCUUACUUUUGUGGAUGCUAAGUAUAAUCUCUGUGACAUGGUUGUCUCUAUUACUGGUAUGUACUGCCCACUGAAGCCUGGAAUAUAUCAUUAUGGAAAAUUUGAGAAUAGAAUUCCAUCACUUUACUGGCCGGGCAAGUAUCAUUUAAAAGCUUUGGCUUAUGAUCAGAAUGAUGAUGAAAUAUUUUGUGGAAUGAUGGAAGUUGAUAUAAAAUGACAUUAAUUUUUGUAAUAAUUAGCUGCUUAAAAAUAAUAUUAGUCAUUUAAUAACAGUAGAUCCAUUCAUUAAUUAAUGUUAUUUUAACUGAAAGACAGGAAAUAUACACAGACCUGGAACAGUUGUUAAAGUUUAUGAUAGAAUACUAAGAAUAGACAGAAGAUGAGUGUUCUCCUACUGAUCAUCCUAACAGUUAUACCUAGUCUACCAACAUCGACUGGAUCUACUAACAAUUACUACAAUGACCCUACUGGUAAUAAAGGAUUCACAGAUUGUUCUAUUACUCAUGAUUUUGUUAUCAUAACUAAUUUAUCAUUCAACACAACAAUUAAACGAGGACAGAGCUAUGGUGUCCAAGGAGUCAUAAAUUUAAAAAAGAAGUUGCAAGGGGGCAUGUUGCAUGUAACUAUAACACAUCCAUUCAAAAAUUAUACAAACCUUACUUUUGUGGAUGUUAAGUAUAAUCUCUGUGACAUGAUUGUCUUCUCUACUGGUGAAUACUGCCCAAUGAAGCCUGGAGUAUAUCAUGGAAAAUUUAAGAAUACAACUCCAUCACUUCUCUGGCCAGUCAGUAACAAACACAGUGUAUAUAAUCAAUUCAUGAUUAUUAAUAAUUUUAAUU
Amphimedon queenslandica is the source of this 1163-nucleotide RNA transcript. RefSeq lists it as uncharacterized. NCBI's taxonomy places the organism in Eukaryota, Metazoa, Porifera, Demospongiae, Haplosclerida, Niphatidae. The transcript has 8 exons. The record is from RefSeq and is a predicted model, not a curated record.